UCCACAUCCAUUUCCAUUCAAUUCUUGAGAGACGUGCGGGAUUAGAUUUUACAUUUAAUACAUCAGUAAUUUAAAAAAAAUAUAUUUAUAAAUUAUGAGCACAAAAUUGCGCGUAGGCCGGUCGCUUCCGCCGUUCCGCCUCCUGUUAGUCGACGCUAACGCGUCUUAGAGAGCAGUCCUGUACAACUUUUUCGCGCGGUGCCGUUGUCUACUCGCAUACGUGAUUUAGUGUUAGUGAUACUAAAGUUUUUCAUAAACAUGGUGAAUUUUGGUGGCCAAAACAUUGAUGGUGAGAACAUUAGGAAGAAAAUGUUGCGAAAGCAGAUAAAAAAACUACAGUUAUUGAACCCAAAUAGCGAAGCGCGACCACGAAAAAUCCGAUGAGCAGCCUGCAAGCCAGGACGCAAUAAAAGACAAACCAUGAUUACCAGAAACUGAUGUGGAUCUUCAGACAGUUUCAUAUAGUACUUUUUUGUCACAAUGUACAAGGACAGCUCAAAAUGACGAGCAAGAAACAUAUUUAUUUUCGGAACAAGGUGAAGAAGAAAAAAUGAAAGUCGUAUCAAGAAGAUAAACAUUGGAACAAUAAAAUAGUACCAAAACCAGCAUUCGAAAAUAUCUGUUAUGUU
Colias croceus (clouded yellow) is the source of this 629-nucleotide long non-coding RNA. RefSeq lists it as uncharacterized. The record is from RefSeq and is a predicted model, not a curated record. Lineage: Eukaryota; Metazoa; Arthropoda; Insecta; Lepidoptera; Pieridae. The transcript has 3 exons.